RNAcentral lists this long non-coding RNA (217 nucleotides) under Malus domestica (apple). Its description in RNAcentral is "long non-coding RNA (MDOM_LNC000499)". The record is from RNAcentral. Lineage: Eukaryota; Viridiplantae; Streptophyta; Magnoliopsida; Rosales; Rosaceae.
AAGUACCAUCUGCUUUCGCAGAGAUCUAUAUUUGAUUCACUUUCCGAAUGUGAAGCACCUUCUCUUCUCUCAUUAAUCUUCUACUUCUUAUUAGCCACACUUUUACAACGAAUUGUAAAACAUAGUUACUAAUACGGAAUCAAGCAUUCAAGUAGAAGAACCAACUGUUUUGAACUUUUCAAGAACAUUUUAUAACACCUUCGAAAGGUGUGUUCUU